GCAACUCGCCUACAUGAAUCGGAAUUGCUAGUAAUCGCGGAUCAGCAUGCCGCGGUGAAUACGUUCCCGGGCCUUGUACACACCGCCCGUCACACCAUGGGAGUCGGUAACACCCGAAGCCUGUAGUCUAACCGCAAGGGGGACGCAGUCGAAGGUGGGAUUGAUGACUGGGGUGAAGUCGUAACAAGGUAGC
Molecule: ribosomal RNA, 193 nt
Filed under: uncultured bacterium
Lineage: Bacteria
Description: partial 16S ribosomal RNA
Rfam family: Bacterial small subunit ribosomal RNA
Source: RNAcentral